UAACAAGGAUUCCCCUAGUAACUGCGAGUGAAGCGGGAAAAGCUCAAAUUUAAAAUCUGGCGGUCUCUGGCCGUCCGAGUUGUAGUCUGGAGAAGCGUUUUCCGCGUUGGACCGUGUACAAGUUUCCUGGAACGGAGCGUCAUAGAGGGUGAGAAUCCCGUCUUUGACACGGAUCCAAAUGCUUUGUGAUGCGCUCUCAAAGAGUCGAGUUGUUUGGGAAUGCAGCUCAAAAUGGGUGGUGAAUUCCAUCUAAAGCUAAAUAUUGGCGAGAGACCGAUAGCGAACAAGUACCGUGAGGGAAAGAUGAAAAGCACUUUGGAAAGAGAGUUAAACAGUACGUGAAAUUGUUGAAAGGGAAACGCUUGAAGUCAGUCGCGUUGGCCGGGACUCAGCCUUGCAUCAGCUUGGUGUACUUUCCGGUCGACGGGCCAGCAUCAGUUUUGACCGCGGGAUAAAGGUGAAGGGAAUGUGGCUCUUUCGGGAGUGUUAUAGCCCUCUGUCGGAUGCCGUGGUUGGGACUGAGGAACUCAGCACGCCUUUAUGGCCGGGGUUCGUCCACGUACGUGCUUAGGAUGCUGGCGUAAUGGCUUUAAACGAC
This 598-nucleotide ribosomal RNA is filed under the name Xylobolus frustulatus. RNAcentral's name for it is "eukaryotic LSU rRNA". It matches the Rfam family "Eukaryotic large subunit ribosomal RNA", at positions 66 to 648 of the family's 3401-position model. Lineage: Eukaryota; Fungi; Basidiomycota; Agaricomycetes; Russulales; Stereaceae. The record is from RNAcentral.